CUACGUGCCAGCAGCCGCGGUAAUACGUAGGGCGCAAGCGUUGUCCGGAAUUAUUGGGCGUAAAGAGCUCGUAGGCGGCUGGUCGCGUCUGUCGUGAAAACUUCCGGCUCAACCGGGGGCUUGCGGUGGGUACGAGCCGGCUAGAGUGCGGUAGGGGUAACUGGAACUCCUGGUGUAGCGGUGGAAUGCGCAGAUAUCAGGAAGAACACCGAUGGCGAAGGCAGGUUACUGGGCCGUUACUGACGCUGAGGAGCGAAAGCGUGGGGAGCGAACAGGAUUAGAUACCCUGGUAGUCCACGCCGUAAACGUUGGGCACUAGGUGUGAGGCUCCUUUCCGGGGGUUUUGCGCCGUAGCUAACGCAUUAAGUGCCCCGCCUGGGGAGUACGGCCGCAAGGCUAAAACUCAAAGGAAUUGACGGGGGCCCGCACAAGCGGCGGAGCAUGCGGAUUAAUUCGAUGCAACGCGAAGAACCUUACCAAGGCUUGACAUGUUAACCGGGCUCUAGAGAUAGG
RNAcentral lists this ribosomal RNA (513 nucleotides) under uncultured bacterium. Its description in RNAcentral is "bacterial SSU rRNA". It matches the Rfam family "Bacterial small subunit ribosomal RNA", at positions 501 to 1010 of the family's 1533-position model. The record is from RNAcentral.